This 885-nucleotide ribosomal RNA is filed under the name uncultured marine group I thaumarchaeote. Its description in RNAcentral is "SSU rRNA". It matches the Rfam family "Archaeal small subunit ribosomal RNA", at positions 12 to 903 of the family's 1478-position model. Lineage: Archaea; Thermoproteati; Nitrososphaerota. The record is from RNAcentral.
UCCUGCCGGACCUGACUGCUAUCGGAUUGAUACUAAGCCAUGCGAGUCUUUGUAGUAAUACAAGGCAUACGGCUCAGUAACACGUAGUCAACCUACCCUAUGGACAAGAAUAAUCUCGGGAAACUGGGCAUAAUUCUUGAUAGAUCAUAAUGCCUGGAAUGGUUUAUGGUUAAAAUGAUUCGUCGCCAUAGGAUGGGACUGCGGCCUAUCAGCUUGUUGGUGAGGUAAUGGCCCACCAAGGCGAUUACAGGUACGGGCUCUGAGAGGAGAAGCCCGGAGAUGGGUACUGAGACACGGACCCAGGCCCUAUGGGGCGCAGCGGGCGAGAAAACUUUGCAAUGUGCGAAAGCACGACAAGGUUAAUCCGAGUGGUUUCUGCUAAAGGAACCUUUUGUUAGUCCUAAAAACACUAACGAAUAAGGGGUGGGCAAGUUCUGGUGUCAGCCGCCGCGGUAAAACCAGCACCUCAAGUGGUCAGGAUGAUUAUUGGGCCUAAAGCAUCCGUAGCCUGCUCUGUAAGUUUUCGGUUAAAUCUGUAUGCUCAACAUACAGGCCGCCGGGAAUACUGCAGGGCUAGGGAGUGGGAGAGGUAGACGGUACUCGGGAGGAAGUGGUAAAAUGCUUUGAUCUCUCGAUGACCACCUGUGGCGAAGGCGGUCUACCAGAACACGUCCGACGGUGAGGGAUGAAAGCUGGGGGAGCAAACCGGAUUAGAUACCCGGGUAGUCCCAGCCGUAAACUAUGCAAACUCAGUGAUGCAUUGGCUUGUGGCCAAUGCAGUGUUGCAGGGAAGCCGUUAAGUUUGCCGCCUGGGAAGUACGUACGCAAGUAUGAAACUUAAAGGAAUUGGCGGGGGAGCACCACAAGGGGUGAAGCCUGCGGUUC